Molecule: small nuclear RNA, 172 nt
Filed under: Echinops telfairi (small Madagascar hedgehog)
Lineage: Eukaryota; Metazoa; Chordata; Mammalia; Afrosoricida; Tenrecidae
Description: U4 spliceosomal RNA (ENSETEG00000020588.1)
Rfam family: U4 spliceosomal RNA
About the family: U4 small nuclear RNA (U4 snRNA) is a component of the major U2-dependent spliceosome. The structure of U4 snRNA from yeast and human has been reported. U4 snRNA presents a k-turn RNA motif in the 5p-SL related to recognition of Snu13 protein.
Source: RNAcentral
GUUUUUGUGCAGUGGCAAUAUAGUAGCCAAUGAGAUCUAACCAAGGCACUGUUAUUGCUAAUUGAAAACUCUUCUCAACUCUCCAUUGGCUAAGAUCUCACUCAUACAUCAGUUUGUCAUAUUGUGGUGGCUUGUGUGUUGCUGGAAGCUAUGCCACCAGUAUUUCAAAUAG